GGCCUUAACAAACACCUCGAUAUCUCUGUUUCCAGGCUUCCUUGCGUUAUGUACGAGCGAUGUUAUGAUAGUAUGAAGAUCCAUGUAACUUUUGUUCUCUAUAAGGAAAGACGGUAAAAGUAAGAGAAAGGUCAGUUAUGAGUGAUAUUAAUAAACUUUUUUUCUUAAGCGGGUCUCCUUCCAACUGCCAGCCUCGUGCUAGAAUGACCUCAACAAACACCUCCAUAUCUCUGUUUCCAGGCCUCCUUGCGUUAUGUACGAGCGAUGUUAUGAUAGUAUGAAGAUCCAUGUAACUUUUGUUCUCUAUAAGGAAAGACGGUAAAAGUAAGAGAAAGGUCAGUUUUGAGUGAUAUUAAUAAACUUUUUUUCUUAAGCGGGUCUCCUUCCAGCUGCCUGCCUCGUGCUAGUAUGACCUCAACAAACACCUCCAUAUCUCUGUUUCCAGGCCUCCUUGCGUUAUGUACGGACGAUGAUAUGAUAGUAUAAACAUCCAUGUAACUUUCGUUCUCUAUAAGGAAAGACGGUAAAGGUACGAGAAAGGUCAGUUAUGAGUGAUAUUAAUAAACUUUUUUUGCUAGCGGCUGGGCGGGUUGUAUGAAUGACGGGAGAUUCGCUUCCCCGCCAACCCGGAUAAAGUUACUGUUCUAAAUACACUCAUAUCUCUGCUUCCAUUGCUCCUAGCGUCGUAUACUAGAUGGCUAAUAAUAAAAGGAAGAUUUGCCAUACUUAAGGUGUAUCGGGGAGGCGGGGAAGAGUAGGAAGAGGAUAAGAAAAAAUUCGUUAAACAUUUAGCUUCCACAAGACAAGGGUCGAGACGGUGCAGGUCGAGCUUGGGGAAACUGAAUUUACUCACUAUUACAAAUUACAUCAUAUCUCUGUUUCCAGUUGACCCAUUACAAUAAACGAACUACCCAACGAUAAUACGAAGAUUUGCACAUCUUUUGGUAUAUCAGAGAAUUGGAAAGAGAGAAGAUAUAUGGUAGAAAUUAGUGAUAGAAAUUGACAGCUUGCAAGAGGAGGGUGGCGCCAAAUAUUGUCAAAAAAAAAAGUUACAAAUUACACUAUAUCUCAGUUUCUAGUAGUCCAAUUUCAAUGACCGAACUACUCAACGAUAAUACGAAGAAUUGCGCAACUUUUGGUAUAUAAGAGAUUUGGAUAGAUCGAAAAAAUGAGGUAAAAAUUAGUGAUAGAAGUUGACGGCUUGCAAGAGGGUGAUGACGCUAAAUAUAGGCUUACAUUUUUUUUUUUGCAACAAAGGAGGCAGCUCAAGGGCACAAUAAAAAAAAACAAUAAUGAAAAAAAGCCCGCUAAUCGCUGCUCCCAUAAAAGACUCAGAAGAGGUCAAAUUACAAAUUACAUCAUAUCUCAGUUUCUAUUGGACACAUUACAAUAAGCGAACUACCAAGCGACGAUACUACGAAGAAUUGCGCUUCUUUUGGUAUAUAAGAGAUUUGGAUAGAGAGAAGAUAUAUAGUAGUUAUUAGUGAUAGAAAUUGACAGCUUGCAAGAGGAGGGUGGCGCCAAAUAUUGUCUAAAAAAAAGAAGUUACAAAUUACACUAUAUCUCAGUUUCUAGUAGUCCAAUUUCAAUGACCGAACUACCCAACGAUACUACGAAGAAUUGCGCAACUUUUGGUAUAUAAGAGAUUUGGAUAGAUCGAAGAAAUAAGGUAAAAAUUAGUGAUAGAAGUUGACGGCUUGCAAGAGGGUGAUGACGCUAAAUAUAGGCUUACAUUUUUUUUUUUUUUGCAACAAAGGAGGCAGCUCAAGGGCACAAUAAAAAAACAAUAAUAAAAAAAGCCCGCUAAUCGCUGCUCCCAUAAAAGAAUCAGAAGAGGUGGCCAAAAGCAAGGUCAAAUUACAUCAUAUCUCAGUUUCUAUUGGACACAUUACAAUAAACGAACUACCAAACGACGAUACUACGAAGAAUUGCGCUUCUUUUGGUAUAUAAGAGAUUUGGAUAGAGAGAAGAUAUAUGAUAGAA
Molecule: long non-coding RNA, 1983 nt
Organism: Eriocheir sinensis (Chinese mitten crab)
Lineage: Eukaryota; Metazoa; Arthropoda; Malacostraca; Decapoda; Varunidae
Exons: 3
Source: RefSeq, a predicted model, not a curated record